RNAcentral lists this ribosomal RNA (1555 nucleotides) under metagenome. Its description in RNAcentral is "bacterial SSU rRNA". It matches the Rfam family "Bacterial small subunit ribosomal RNA". The record is from RNAcentral.
AGGGUUUGAUCCUGGCUCAGAGUGAACGCUGGCGGCGUGGAUAGGGCAUGCAAGUCGAGCGAUUGCUAAUUUUGGAUUUUUUUUGAACUUCCUGAAGGGGUUUACCUCGGAGGGGAGGAAUGAGAGAAUUUGUGUUAGUGAUAGCGGCAAACGGUAGAGUAUCACGUGGGUUACUUGCCCUAAGGAGGAAAAUAGCUUCGAGAAAUCGGAGGUAAUAUUCCAUAAGUCUUUCGAGAUUAAAGGUGGCUGAAUUCUUCGGAGUGCCAUCACCUUAGGAUGGGCCCGCGGCUUAUCAGGUUGUUGGUGGGGUAAUGGCCUACCAAGCCUAAGACGAGUAGCAGGCGUGAGAGCGUGGCCUGCCUGAUGGGGACUGAGACACGGCCCCGACUCCUACGGGAGGCAGCAGUCGAGAAUCUUUUGCAAUGGGCGAAAGCCUGACAAUGCGACGCCGCGUGGGGGAUGAAGGUUUUCGGAUUGUAAACCCCUUUUGUCAGGGAUGAAAUACUUAAGGUUAAUAUCCUUAAGGGCUGACAGUACCUGGCGAAUAAGCCACGGCUAACUCCGUGCCAGCAGCCGCGGUAAUACGGAGGUGGCAAGCGUUACUCGGUUUGACUGGGCGUAAAGGGUCCGCAGGCGGCUAGAUAAGUGAAAGGUGAAAUCUUUCGGCUCAACCGUAAGACUGCCUUUCAAACUGUUUAGCUUGAGGCUGAAAGAGGAGAAUGGAACUGCCGGUGUAAGGGUGAAAUCUGUGGAUAUCGGCAGGAACGUCAAUGGCGAAGGCAGUUCUCUGGUUCAGCUCUGACGCUCAUGGACGAAAGCUAGGGUAGCAAACGGGAUUAGAUACCCCGGUAGUCCUAGCUGUAAACGAUCCCCGCUAGGUGUCUGUCCGUACGGAUGGGUGCCGUAGCUAACGCGUUAAGCGGGGCACCUGGGGACUACAGCCGCAAGGCUAAAACUCAAAGGAAUUGGCGGGGGCCAGCACAAGCGGUGGAACACGUGGUUCAAUUCGAUGCUACGCGAGGAACCUUACCAGGGCUUGACAUGCUAGAAGUACUUGGGUGGAAACACCUGGAGACCGUAUCCAAUCGGCGUCUAGUACAGGUGCUGCAUGGCUGUCGUCAGCUCGUGCCGUGAGGUGUCCGGUUAAGUCCGGCAACGAGCGCAACCCUCGUCUUUAGUUGCCAACUUCUGAUUUAUCAGAAUGGCUCUCUAAAGAGACUGCCCUGUAUAACGGGGAGGAAGGUGAGGAUGACGUCAAGUCCGCAUGGCCCUUAUGUCCUGGGCUACACACGUGUUACAAUGCUCGCUACAAUGAGACGCCAAGCCGUAAGGUGGAGCAAAUCUCAAAAAAGCGGGCUCAGUUCGGAUUGAGGGCUGCAACCCGCCCUCAUGAAGUUGGAAUCGCUAGUAAUGGCGCAUCAGCCACGGCGCCGUGAAUACGUUCCCUGGCCUUGCACACACCGCCCGUCACGCCAUGGGAGUCGGGGGCACCCGAACUCCGACAUUAGUCGGAGGAAGGUGAACUCGGCGACUGGGGCGAAGUCGUAACAAGGUA